RNAcentral lists this microRNA (23 nucleotides) under Pristionchus pacificus. Its description in RNAcentral is "ppc-miR-8235-3p". The record is from miRBase by way of RNAcentral. Lineage: Eukaryota; Metazoa; Nematoda; Chromadorea; Rhabditida; Neodiplogasteridae.
GCCGUCUGUUGCUCUGUGAAGCC